This 165-nucleotide small nuclear RNA is filed under the name Carlito syrichta (Philippine tarsier). Its description in RNAcentral is "U1 spliceosomal RNA (ENSTSYG00000028697.1)". It matches the Rfam family "U1 spliceosomal RNA". From Rfam's summary of the family: U1 is a small nuclear RNA (snRNA) component of the spliceosome (involved in pre-mRNA splicing). Its 5' end forms complementary base pairs with the 5' splice junction, thus defining the 5' donor site of an intron. The record is from Rfam by way of RNAcentral. Lineage: Eukaryota; Metazoa; Chordata; Mammalia; Primates; Tarsiidae.
AUACUUACCUGGCAGGGGAGAUACCAUGAUCAUGAAGGUGGCUUUCCCAGGGCAAGGCUCACCCACUGCACUCCUAGUUGUGCUGACCCCUGUGAUUUCCCCAAAUGUGGGAAACUCGACUGCAUAAUUUGUGGUAAUGGGGGACUGCAUUUGUACUCUACCCUG